RNAcentral lists this ribosomal RNA (468 nucleotides) under uncultured bacterium. RNAcentral's name for it is "partial 16S ribosomal RNA". It matches the Rfam family "Bacterial small subunit ribosomal RNA", at positions 28 to 507 of the family's 1533-position model. The record is from RNAcentral.
GACGAACGCUGGCGGCGUGCUUAACACAUGCAAGUCGAACGGAAAGGCCCUGCUUUUGUGGGGUGCUCGAGUGGCGAACGGGUGAGCAACACGUGAGUAACCUGCCCUUGACUUUGGGAUAACUUCAGGAAACUGGGGCUAAUACCGGAUAGGAGCUCCUGCUGCAUGGUGGGGGUUGGAAAGUUUCGGCGGUUGGGGAUGGACUCGCGGCUUAUCAGCUUGUUGGUGGGGUAGUGGCUUACCAAGGCUUUGACGGGUAGCCGGCCUGAGAGGGUGACCGGCCACAUUGGGACUGAGAUACGGCCCAGACUCCUACGGGAGGCAGCAGUGGGGAAUACUGCACAAUGGGCGGAAGCCUGAUGCAGCAACGCCGCGUGCGGGAUGACGGCCUUCGGGUUGUAAACCGCUUUCGCCUGUGACGAAGCGUGAGUGACGGUAAUGGGUAAAGAAGCACCGGCUAACUACGUG